UAAAAAAAAAAAAAAAAACAUAAAAAAGUAGACAGAUUAAGAAAGACAUUACAAUUAAGAAAGCCCAAAUUGUCAGUGGCAAAAUAAAAAUAUUAAGCUAUGGUGACACUACAAAAUACUCAAAUUUAGUUUUCAUAUAUGUUUUUAUUAUUUACGUGACAAUAAUUUCAUACAAAGUACUUUAUUCCCUCAGUGACAAUUUCAUACAAAGUACUUUGUACCCUCAGUAACAACAGAG
This is a non-coding RNA of Biomphalaria pfeifferi, 238 nucleotides long. The record is from the annotation of a GenBank genome assembly. NCBI's taxonomy places the organism in Eukaryota, Metazoa, Mollusca, Gastropoda, Planorbidae.